This 298-nucleotide long non-coding RNA is filed under the name Pongo abelii (Sumatran orangutan). RNAcentral's name for it is "lincRNA". The record is from RNAcentral. Lineage: Eukaryota; Metazoa; Chordata; Mammalia; Primates; Hominidae.
CCCAGAAGCUAGCUGGGCCUGAGCUGGACAUUUAGUGCCAGAAAAUUCUCAAAGGGGUCCCUGAUUCAGAAAAAUAAGACAGAGUGCUGAGAUUCUGAUCGUCACAAGCCUUCUGGAGUUCUAAAUGGUGCUCCUGUCAGUCCCCUCUGUGGGUCUCUAUGCUGUAGAGGCAAAGCCAUGUGUCCUCGUCCCGCCCUGCGCCUGGCAGUGUGACUGAGAGGGGAAGCCAGGAUGGGGUUCCUGUUGGAUCCCACAUGUGUUUCCUCCCUGGCUUGUGGAAGAAAAUGUGUUCUCCAAA